AAAAAUGCAAUUAAAUCUAUUAUUUAAUAUUAAUCAUUAUGAAAAUUUAUAGUUUUAAUUAAAAAUUUAUUGGGUGAAAUUUUAAGUUUUUUAAUAAAUUAUUAAAAAAAUUAAUAUUUAAGAAAUUUUAAUUUAGACUAGGAUUAGAUACCCUAUUAUUAAAAAUGUAAAAUAUUGUUAGAUUAGUAUUAGUUAUGUUCUUGAAAAUUAAAAAAUUUGGCGGUUUUUUAGUCUAUUCAGAGGAACCUGUUUUAUAAUCGAUAGUCCACGAUUUCAUUGACUUUUUCUUUUAGCUUGUAUAUCGUCGUAGUUGGAAUAUUUUAUUAGAAUUUAAAUAUUCAAUUUUUAAAGUUUAUUUUAAAUCAGAUCAAGGUAUAGUUUAUGAAAAAGUAAAAAUGGGUUACAGUAAUUUUAUUUAGGAAUUAUUUUUGUGAGAAAAAUAUGAAUUUGGAUUUGAUAGUAAUUUUUUAAAAAUUUUUAAAAUGAUUGGAGCUCUAAAUUAUGUACAUAUUGCCCGUCGCUUUCAUUCUAAAGUGAAAUAAGUCGUAACAAAGUAGGCUUACUGGAAAGUGAGCCUAGGAGGAGCAAGAUAGAGCUUGAUUAAAAAGCAUUUUAUUUACAUUAAAAAGUUAAUUGUGAAAGUCAAUUUUUCUUGAUUUAAAAAAAUUAUUGAGUUAGUUAUAGGGGGAUAAAUAAUUAAUAAAAAUAAUUUAAUUUAUAGUAUAAUUAAGAAAAAAUUAUUUUAAUUAUAGAAAAUUAGGUAUUGUGAAAGAAUUUUUUAAAAAGGGGGAAAGAAAAUUCUUAAU
RNAcentral lists this ribosomal RNA (806 nucleotides) under Olenecamptus cretaceus marginatus. RNAcentral's name for it is "partial 12S ribosomal RNA". The record is from RNAcentral. Lineage: Eukaryota; Metazoa; Arthropoda; Insecta; Coleoptera; Cerambycidae.